GACGAACGCUGGCGGCGUGCUUAACACAUGCAAGUCGAACGGAAAGGCCCUGCUUUUGUGGGGUGCUCGAGUGGCGAACGGGUGAGUAACACGUGAGUAACCUGCCCUUGACUUUGGGAUAACUUCAGGAAACUGGGGCUAAUACCGGAUAGGAGCUCCUGCUGCAUGGUGGGGGUUGGAAAGUUUCGGCGGUUGGGGAUGGACUCGCGGCUUAUCAGCUUGUUGGUGGGGUAGUGGCUUACCAAGGCUUUGACGGGUAGCCGGCCUGAGCGGGUGAGCGGCCACAUUGGGACUGAGAUACGGCCCAGACUCCUACGGGAGGCAGCAGUGGGGAAUAUUGCCCAAUGGGCGGAAGCCUGAUGCAGCAACGCCGCGUGCGGGAUGACGGCCUUCGGGUUGUAAACCGCUUUCGCCUGUGACGAAGCGUGAGUGACGGUAAUGGGUAAAGAAGCACCGGCUAACUACGUG
RNAcentral lists this ribosomal RNA (468 nucleotides) under uncultured bacterium. RNAcentral describes it as "partial 16S ribosomal RNA". It matches the Rfam family "Bacterial small subunit ribosomal RNA", at positions 28 to 507 of the family's 1533-position model. The record is from RNAcentral.